Molecule: ribosomal RNA, 492 nt
Filed under: uncultured bacterium
Lineage: Bacteria
Description: partial 16S ribosomal RNA
Rfam family: Bacterial small subunit ribosomal RNA
Source: RNAcentral
AGUGAACGCUGGCGGCAGGCCUAACACAUGCAAGUCGAACGGCAGCACAGUAAGAGCUUGCUCUUACGGGUGGCGAGUGGCGGACGGGUGAGGAAUACAUCGGAAUCUACUUUUUCGUGGGGGAUAACGUCGGGAAACUUACGCUAAUACCGCAUAUGACCUACGGGUGAAAGCAGGGGAUCUUCGGACCUUGCGCGAUUGAAUGAGCCGAUGUCGGAUUAGCUAGUUGGCGGGGUAAAGGCCCACCAAGGCGACGAUCCGUAGCUGGUCUGAGAGGAUGGUCAGCCACACUGGAACUGAGACACGGUCCAGACUCCUACGGGAGGCAGCAGUGGGGAAUAUUGGGCAAUGGGCGCAAGCCUGAUCCAGCCAUACCGCGUGGGUGAAGAAGGCCUUCGGGUUGUAAAGCCCUUUUGUUGGGAAAGAGAAGCAGCAGGUUAAUACCCCGCUGUUCUGACGGUACCCAAAGAAUAAGCACCGGCUAACUUCGUG